CGCGAAUAGCUCAUUACAACAGCUGUAGUUUAUUGGAUGUUCCUUUUACUUGGAUAACUUUGUCAACCCAGAGCUAAUACAUGCACAAAAGCCCUGACUCACGUAAGGGCGCAUUUAUUUGACUAAAACCAAUGGACUUCGGUCCUUGUUUGGUGAAUCUGAAUAAAUUUGCUGAUCGCUCAGUCCAGUACUGGCGACAAAUCCUUCAAGUGUCUGCCUUAUCAACUUUAGAUGGUAGUUUAUGUGACUACCAUGGUUAUAACGGGUAACGGAGAAUUAGGGUUCGACUCCGGAGAGGGAGCCUGAGAAAUGGCUACCACAUCCAAGGAAGGCAGCAGGC
RNAcentral lists this ribosomal RNA (340 nucleotides) under Nematoda environmental sample. RNAcentral describes it as "bacterial SSU rRNA". It matches the Rfam family "Eukaryotic small subunit ribosomal RNA", at positions 88 to 433 of the family's 1831-position model. The record is from RNAcentral. Lineage: Eukaryota; Metazoa; Nematoda.